This is a long non-coding RNA of Corvus hawaiiensis (hawaiian crow), 1876 nucleotides long. RefSeq lists it as uncharacterized. The record is from RefSeq and is a predicted model, not a curated record. The transcript is spliced from 7 exons. Lineage: Eukaryota; Metazoa; Chordata; Aves; Passeriformes; Corvidae.
CCGGGGCGGUCCCGGGCAGAUCCCGGCCGGAUCCCGGCGGUGGGGCCGCGGAUCAGCACCACGGACAGCGCCCGGCGGCGCCUCCCGGGCGGGGCUGGACCGGGACGCGAGCCCGGCACCGGGAGCGGCACCGGACACCGGCGGGCGCGGGCAGGACUCUCCCGGGACAUCACCGCCCACACAGAGCCACCGAGGCGGCGCUGGACUGUUCGCCGCGGCCAGAAUCUCAUAGAUGGAUCCAACCCUGUCCCUGACAGAGGUCUCUGAAGAACAGGGAACUCAGGUUCUCACUCUGUGUUGACGAAGGUGGGCUUGGAGCUCUGGGCAGGUUUUACGUGACCUCACGAGGGGCUGCACAGGUUCCAGCACAAUCCCAGAGACGGGAGCGCGAGGGGCAGACAGAGCUGGAGGGCUGCAAGACAGGACUGCAGGCAAACUGUGCUGAAGCCAGGAAUGAACCCACACGUUCCCUGGGAGGAAUCCCCAGGGCCCCAGCAGGAUGCAUUAACAGCGCGUCUCUCCAGUGAGCCGUGAUGGGAAGAGCACGGAGCAAAAAAAGCACAGAGAACCGAAGAACCGAUCUCUCGAAGGAUCCUGGUUGGCAGCAAUAUCACCAUCUGACUGAAGAGAACUCAGCCACACGCAUAAUCCUCGGGAAAAUUCAUCUCCACCCUCCCGCAGACCCCGCCUGGAAGUGCAGCUGGGGAUCUCUCCGUGAUGAGCCUGGUCGGAGAUAGCUGGAGGCCAAGAGUGCCCACUCUUUCCAGACAGGCUUUUUCCCCCUGCUCUGGAGCUAAGUUUAGUUCCCAUCCAUAGAAACAAUUACCAAGGAGCCUCCCAGUGCCGAGGAGGGGGGGAGGUCCAGCUGCCACCAGUACAAGGAGCCACGUUCCUGAAAUCUCUGGGACAAACCAGAGGUGGCAGAUCCCUUCCUGAAAAAUAUCACAUGGAGAAAUACGGCCCCACGGAGACAGUCUAGACAAAAACCUCACACGCCUCCCAGCCUGCGAUUUAUGUUUCCUACGAAACACCUCGCUCUGAACAGGGAAUGUCUGGGUGUGAAACCAAGAGAGGAGCUCUUGCUCACACUUCUCCUGUCUUGAUUUUUACGUGACUGUCUAGCAAUGAUUUGUGGUAAAUCUCUUCGUGGAGCUGUGUCCCAGAACAAGGACUGAAAAGUGUCUUUGUCACCUGGAAUUCCAGUCCAGCUCAGCACCUCCCAAGCUGUCUUCUCUCUCAAAUUCAUUCUUCUUUACAAUUCAUCCUCUCUUCCAAUUGUCUUGGGCUGAACACUGAGUUGUCCUGAAUUUUUAUUUCUAAAUAUUGUCUCACUCCCCAGAUGUUUUCACUGCAGACCCCUCUGUGGGAAGAAGAGAAGAAAAUAUGUGAUGGUUUAGGUGAAAUUGUAGGAAAUCCAAGGCCAGGCAGGUGAACCCGUAUCCAGUGUGACAAGGAGUGCACACCCACUGCUGUUCCACCCCAUACUCAGAUUGGAGUCACAGAAUAUCCUGAGUUGUAAGGGACUCACAAGGAUCAUCCGAGUCCAACUCCCAGUUAAAUUUUACCCGGGAGGUUUGGGGCGACAGCAGUUUUGUACAAGAACACGUCCCCCCGUGUUCAGCAGUUGGCUCUGUCCUUACACAAACACGGUGUUGGGUAACACCUGGACCCGUUUUUAUCUGAUUUCCUGGAAAAUGGCAGUAUCACUAAUGCUUUCUGUUAAAUAAGACCACCUGGACACCUCCUGGUAUCAGCCCCAGCUAUCACAAACACUCCUGCUACCUAGGCCAGCACAAAGGGCUGUUAUCUCAGAGCAGCACAAAUCCCCAGACUGAAACACCCAUCUGGAGUUUGAAUAAAGUGUCCAUAGAAAGCA